This 433-nucleotide ribosomal RNA is filed under the name uncultured bacterium. RNAcentral describes it as "partial 16S ribosomal RNA". It matches the Rfam family "Bacterial small subunit ribosomal RNA", at positions 29 to 507 of the family's 1533-position model. The record is from RNAcentral.
AACGAACGCUGGCGGCAUGCCUAACACAUGCAAGUCGAACGAGACCUUCGGGUCUAGUGGCGCACGGGUGCGUAACGCGUGGGAACCUGCCUUUAGGUUCGGAAGAACUCAGAGAAAUUUGAGCUAAUACCGGAUGAUGUCUUCGGACCAAAGAUUUAUCGCCUUUAGAUGGGCCCGCGUUGCAUUAGCUAGUUGGUGGGGUAAAGGCCUACCAAGGCGAGGAUCCAUAGCUGGGAAGAGAGGAAGAUCAGCGACACUGGGACUGAGACACGGCCCAGACUCCUACGGGAGGGAGCAGUGGGGAAUAUUGGAAAAUGGGCGAAAGCAUGAUCCAGCAAUGACGGGUGAGUGAUGAAGGUCGUAGGGUUGUAAAGCUCUUUUAUCCGAGAUGAUAAUGACAGUACCGGGAGAAUAAGCACCGGCUAACUCCGUG